GACGAACGCUGGCGGCGUGCUUAACACAUGCAAGUCGUACGGUAAGGCCCUUUCGGGGGUACACGAGUGGCGAACGGGUGAGUAACACGUGAGUAACCUGCCCACAACUUUGGGAUAACGCUAGGAAACUGGUGCUAAUACUGGAUAUGUGCUCCUGCUGCAUGGUGGGGGUUGGAAAGCUCCGGCGGUUGUGGAUGGACUCGCGGCCUAUCAGCUUGUUGGUGGGGGAGGGGCCUACCAAGGCGGCGACGGGUAGCCGGCCUGAGAGGGUGAACGGCCACAGUGGGACUGGGAUUAGGCCCAGACCCCUACGGGAGGGAGCAGGGGGGAAUAUUGCCACAUGGGCGCGAGCCUGAUGCAGCAACGCCGCGUGCGGGAUGACGGGCUUCGGGUUGGAAACCGCUUUCAGCAGGGACGAAGCUUUUUGUGACGGUACCUGCAGAAGAAGCACCGGCUAACUACGUG
RNAcentral lists this ribosomal RNA (465 nucleotides) under uncultured bacterium. Its description in RNAcentral is "partial 16S ribosomal RNA". It matches the Rfam family "Bacterial small subunit ribosomal RNA", at positions 28 to 507 of the family's 1533-position model. The record is from RNAcentral.